This 337-nucleotide ribosomal RNA is filed under the name uncultured Cryomonadida. Its description in RNAcentral is "partial 18S ribosomal RNA". The stretch from base 121 to 337 matches the Rfam family "Eukaryotic small subunit ribosomal RNA", at positions 740 to 955 of the family's 1831-position model. Lineage: Eukaryota; Cercozoa; Thecofilosea. The record is from RNAcentral.
GAUUUCUGACAUUGGAUCGGUUGACCCGACCAGGUUACUGGUUGUGUGUUGAUUUUUGAUCCUGUCAUCCUUGUAUAUAUUGAUUUUUUUUAUCUGUAAAAAGAUUUCAAUUAUCAAAUAUAUAUACAUCGUUUACUUUGAACAAAUUAGAGUGUUUCAAGCAGGCAGUUUUCGCUUUGAAUACAUUAGCAUGGAAUAAUCGUUUAGGGCUUCGGUUCUAUUUCGUUGGUUUCGAGAGCUGAAGUAAUGAUUGAUAGGGAUAGUUGGGGGUGCUAGUAUUCAGAGGCCAGAGGUGAAAUUCUUGGAUUCUCUGAAGACUAACUUAUGCGAAAGCAUU